This 859-nucleotide ribosomal RNA is filed under the name human gut metagenome. Its description in RNAcentral is "bacterial SSU rRNA". It matches the Rfam family "Bacterial small subunit ribosomal RNA", at positions 53 to 913 of the family's 1533-position model. The record is from RNAcentral.
ACAUGCAAGUCGAACGCUUCACUUCGGUGAAGAGUGGCGAACGGGUGAGUAAUACAUAAGUAACCUGGCAUCUACAGGGGGAUAACUGAUGGAAACGUCAGCUAAGACCGCAUAGGUGUAGAGAUCGCAUGAACUCUAUAUGAAAAGUGCUACGGGACUGGUAGAUGAUGGACUUAUGGCGCAUUAGCUUGUUGGUAGGGUAACGGCCUACCAAGGCGACGAUGCGUAGCCGACCUGAGAGGGUGACCGGCCACACUGGGACUGAGACACGGCCCAGACUCCUACGGGAGGCAGCAGUAGGGAAUUUUCGGCAAUGGGGGAAACCCUGACCGAGCAACGCCGCGUGAAGGAAGAAGUAAUUCGUUAUGUAAACUUCUGUCAUAGAGGAAGAACGGUGGAUAUAGGGAAUGAUAUCCAAGUGACGGUACUCUAUAAGAAAGCCACGGCUAACUACGUGCCAGCAGCCGCGGUAAUACGUAGGUGGCGAGCGUUAUCCGGAAUUAUUGGGCGUAAAGAGGGAGCAGGCGGCACUAAGGGUCUGUGGUGAAAGAUCGAAGCUUAACUUCGGUAAGCCAUGGAAACCGUAGAGCUAGAGUGUGUGAGAGGAUCGUGGAAUUCCAUGUGUAGCGGUGAAAUGCGUAGAUAUAUGGAGGAACACCAGUGGCGAAGGCGACGAUCUGGCGCAUAACUGACGCUCAGUCCCGAAAGCGUGGGGAGCAAAUAGGAUUAGAUACCCUAGUAGUCCACGCCGUAAACGAUGAGUACUAAGUGUUGGGGGUCAAACCUCAGUGCUGCAGUUAACGCAAUAAGUACUCCGCCUGAGUAGUACGUUCGCAAGAAUGAAACUCAAAGGAAUUGA